CAAGUCCAUCACGAUGAAGAAGUAGCGAACCGCAUCGGCCCCGAGUCAUGCGCGGCUGCCCGUGAGGGCAUCAGCGAAGCGUUGACAGGGGAAUGCACAGGCCAGCCAUUGAGCCGCGAAAGUACCCUCUUCCCGGGUGCCGACGUCGUUCCGGUGACGGAAGGCAAUACGGAUGGGCGCGAUAUCGCGAGUGCCCAGACGGCCCGGCGUGGUCUUAGACAC
RNAcentral lists this non-coding RNA (222 nucleotides) under Bradyrhizobium erythrophlei. The record is from RNAcentral. Lineage: Bacteria; Pseudomonadati; Pseudomonadota; Alphaproteobacteria; Hyphomicrobiales; Nitrobacteraceae.